RNAcentral lists this ribosomal RNA (261 nucleotides) under uncultured bacterium. Its description in RNAcentral is "partial 16S ribosomal RNA". It matches the Rfam family "Bacterial small subunit ribosomal RNA", at positions 524 to 781 of the family's 1533-position model. The record is from RNAcentral.
UACGAAGGGGGCUAGCGUUGUUCGGAAUUACUGGGCGUAAAGGGCGCGUAGGCGGCCAUUCAAGUUAGGUGUGAAAGCCCUGGGCUCAACCUAGGAAUUGCACUUGAUACUGUUUGGCUUGAGUUCGGGAGAGGUGAGUGGAAUUCCCAGUGUAGAGGUGAAAUUCGUAGAUAUUGGGAAGAACACCAGUGGCGAAGGCGGCUCACUGGACCGACGACUGACGCUGAGGCGCGAAAGCGUGGGGGAGCAAACAGGGAUUAA